RNAcentral lists this ribosomal RNA (253 nucleotides) under uncultured bacterium. RNAcentral's name for it is "partial 16S ribosomal RNA". It matches the Rfam family "Bacterial small subunit ribosomal RNA", at positions 524 to 776 of the family's 1533-position model. The record is from RNAcentral.
UACGAAGGGGACUAGCGUUGUUCGGAAUUACUGGGCGUAAAGCGUGCGCAGGCGGUUCGUUGUGUCGGCGGGGAAAGCCCCGGGCUCAACCUGGGAAUGGCCGUUGAAACUGGCGAACUGGAGUGUGGCAGAGGGGGGUGGAAUUCCGCGUGUAGCAGUGAAAUGCGUAGAGAUGCGGAGGAACACCGAUGGCGAAGGCAGCCCCCUGGGCUGACACUGACGCUCAGGCACGAAAGCGUGGGGAGCAAACAGG